RNAcentral lists this ribosomal RNA (1338 nucleotides) under Catenula lemnae. Its description in RNAcentral is "eukaryotic LSU rRNA". It matches the Rfam family "Eukaryotic large subunit ribosomal RNA", at positions 166 to 1255 of the family's 3401-position model. Lineage: Eukaryota; Metazoa; Platyhelminthes; Catenulidae. The record is from RNAcentral.
ACAUUGGACCAUUGCCCAAGUCCCAUUGACUAGGGCUCGAUGACCCAAAGUGGGUGUCAGGCCUGUAGUGGUGGUGCUCUGGUGUCCAUUGAUUACACGAAGAGUCGGGUUGUUUGCGAGUACAACCCAAAGUAGGUGGUAAACUCCAUCUAAGGCUAAAUAUGAGUACGAGUCCGAUAGCAAACAAGUACCGUGAGGGAAAGUUGAAAAGAACUUUGAAGAGAGAGUUCAAGAGUACGUGAAACCGCCAGGAGGGAAGCGGGUGAAGCCACAUGGUUGCCGUGCGGAUUCAGUUUUGCCGGUUGACCACCAGUGUUGCUCAUGGAUUGUUCAGUCAUGAGUGAUGUUGGUGAUUGUGCCAGUUGGCCGGUGGAAUGUAUAUUUGCAUGUGCAAUGAGUCACGACCGAUUGCUCGGCAGCUAAAGCUGUUAUUCGUGAAGUUAAUGAGUGCAUGGGUUUGCUAUGUGCUUAUUGGCUAAGGGUGACAGUGAUAGUGAUUCUGGGCAAUUGAGGACAGCACUCUCAGCUGAAGCGGAACAUGCCGUUUUGGUGGCAGGCUGUACGGUCGCGUGGGUGUCGUAUGCAUUGGACUGCUUGCAGGACUGUGUGUGCGGUGUCUACGGUCAGAUCCUUGCGUGUUAUGCCAGAGAGCAUAUGCCCCCGCUGUUCAGUGACGCGUUGGUCACUUACCCGUCCCGUCUUGAAACACGGACCAAGGAGUUCAGCCAGGCAGGCAAGUUCUGAGGGUCGAGCAAAACCCGAAGGCGAAGUGAAAGCAAAGGGGCUCCUCUUGGGCCUUCUAGAUGUGAUCCUGGGUAGGUGAGAGCCUCCGGGGCGCAACAUCGUCUCGUCGUGAUCCCGUGCGGAUACGGCAACAUUGGAGCUGGCACGCUGAGACCCGAAAGAUGGUGAACUAUCCCAGAGUAGGGCGAAGCCAGAGGAAACUCUGGGGGAGGCCCGAAGCGAUUCUAACCUGGCAAAUUGAUCGUCAGACUUUGGUAUAGGGGCGAAAGACUAAUCGAACCAUCUAGUAGCUGGUUCCCUCCGAAGUUUCCCUCAGGAUAGCUGGCGCUCGUUUGGAGGCAGUAGUACCCGGUAAAGCGAAUGAUUAGAGUGUUNUGGGUCGAAACGAUCUAAACCUAUUCUCAAACUCUAAAAGGGUACGAAGGUUGGCUCGCUUGUGAGUCGACACCUCGAAGCUGUAGUGCCAAGUGGCCACUUUUGGUAAGCAGAAGCUGGCGCUGUGGGAUGAACCAAACGUCCGGUUAAGGUGCCUAACAUGCGCUCAUUGGAAAUCCACAAAAGGUUUGGUUGAUAAAGACAGCAGACGGUGGUCAU